RNAcentral lists this ribosomal RNA (440 nucleotides) under uncultured bacterium. RNAcentral's name for it is "partial 16S ribosomal RNA". It matches the Rfam family "Bacterial small subunit ribosomal RNA", at positions 338 to 795 of the family's 1533-position model. The record is from RNAcentral.
CCUACGGGCGGCAGCAGUGGGGAAUAUUGCACAAUGAGGGAAACCCUGAUGCAGCGACGCCGCGUGAGCGAUGAAGUAUUUCGGUAUGUAAAGCUCUAUCAGCAGGGAAGAAGAUGUCGGUACCUGACUAAUUACCCCCGGCCAAAUACGUGCCAGCCGCCGCGGUCAUACGUAGUGGGCAAGCGUUCUCCGGUUUUACUGGGUGUAACGGUAGCGUAGACGGCGAUGCAAGCCAGAUGUGAAAGCCCGGGGCUCAAACCCGGGACUGCAUUUGGUACUAGGAGGCUGGAGUGUCGGAGAGGCAGGCGGAAUUCCUAGUGUAGCGGUGAAAUGCGUAGAUAUUAGGAGGAACACCAGAGGCGAAGGCGGCCUGCUGGACGAUGACUGACGUUGAGGCUCGAAAGCGUGGGGAGCAAACAGGAUUAGAUACCCGUGUAGUC